UACGGAGGGUGCAAGCGUUAGUCGGAAUUAUUGGGCGUAAAGGGUGCGUAGGCUGACAUGCAAGUCAGAUGUGAAAUCCCGAGGCUUAACCUCGGAGCGGCAUCUGAAACUGCAUGUCUAGUGGGAUGGCGGAGAAAACGGAAUUCCACGUGUAGCGGUGAAAUGCGUAGAUAUGUGGAAGAACACCUGUGGCGAAAGCGGUUUUCUAGCCUACCCCAGACGCUGAGGCACGAAAGCUAGGGGAGCAAAC
This 250-nucleotide ribosomal RNA is filed under the name uncultured bacterium. Its description in RNAcentral is "partial 16S ribosomal RNA". It matches the Rfam family "Bacterial small subunit ribosomal RNA", at positions 524 to 773 of the family's 1533-position model. The record is from RNAcentral.